AGCAGCCGCGGUAAUUCCAGCUCCAAUAGCGUAUAUUAAAGUUGUUGCAGUUAAAAAGCUCGUAGUUGAAUUUCGGGAUCAGACUGUCGGUCGUGCCUCGGUACGCACUGGCAUUAUUGGUUCCUACCUUCUGAAGAACCGCGAUGUCAUUAAUUUGGUGUCGCGGGGAAUCAGGACUGUUACUUUGAAAAAAUUAGAGUGUUUAAAGCAGGCUUACGCUUGAAUACAUUAGCAUGGAAUAAUGAAAUAGGACGUUUGAUUCUAUUUUGUUGGUUUCUAGGAUCGACGUAAUGAUUAAUAGGGAUAGUUGGGGGCAUUAGUAUUCAAUUGUCAGAGGUGAAAUUCUUGGAUUUAUUGAAGACUAACUACUGCGAAAGCAUUUGCCAAGGAUGUUUUCAUUAAUACAAGAACGAAAGUUAGGGGAUCGAAGACGAUCAGAUACCGUCGUAGUCUUAACCAUAAACUA
This 466-nucleotide ribosomal RNA is filed under the name uncultured Glomus. Its description in RNAcentral is "SSU rRNA". It matches the Rfam family "Eukaryotic small subunit ribosomal RNA", at positions 569 to 1039 of the family's 1831-position model. The record is from RNAcentral. Lineage: Eukaryota; Fungi; Glomeromycota; Glomeromycetes; Glomerales; Glomeraceae.